UUUCCUCUUGCAUUUUCAGUCUAUGAUUUGCAUAUCCUGUGACGAUGGCGAAAGUUCCUGUCCUCUUCCUUUCUCCUCUUUAGCCUGUGACAUUUUUGUAUAGUCAUGUUCAGCCAUGUCUUUUCUUUCUGUAGCAUUUGCCAUUUGCGUUUCAAAAUUUUAAUCAAUAAAUUGUUUAAUGUAAUAUUUGCCAUUUUUCUCGCCUGCAACUAUGUCCGCGCGCUGUGAAAGCAUAAUGGACUGGUGAUCUUGAGAAGAUGGCAAUAAUUUGCUAAAUGAGGAGUUCAAAGGAGUCAAGUACAUAAUGAUUAUUGCAAAAAGGAAGACUUCGUACGAGAACAAUCCAGUCCACUGCGAAAUGCAAAACCGGGCAACUGAUUCUAAUUUUUUUUAUCAUUCUACAUUUUGUUAUCUAUCUAUUUUGAUACUCGACAAACCCUUAAAAUAAUAUUUUUAUUUUGACAACUUUUAAAAAAGAGCUAAUAUUUAUUUUUCUACUUUCCAGAGUUGGAGUUUCAUUAACAACAAGUAAUACAUUGGCUAAUUAUUGAAAGUAUCUACAAAUUACUCAUUAGUGGAAUAUUAGGAAAGCUUUUAGAAAGGCAGAUAUGCCAGUUCAUUUUCAAAACUGGAUCACAAACAUAAAAAAAGAAAUUAUAUGAGAGAUUUAGGGACCUGUAAUGGGACCAAUUGUUACAAAACCAACAAAAGAGAAAGACAAUCUCUUGUGUCGGAGGCCAAGCCCCGACCGCUUUGGGUUGCUGCGCCAUCGGAGUAAGUAAUAGGACAAGAAAAUUAAUGCUUAAAGUUCUGUUUCAUAUCGGUAUCCAAAUUAAUUUAGUUUAUGCUACAUGGAAGUAAAAGAAAGGCAUGGGGAACUGUGUCUACUGUAAACACUAGUUUCGGAUUAAAGAAAUAGUAAGUGUAAGAGAAUUUAAUUUGAUUUAAUUCUAUCAACUAUUGAUGGUGGUCUGAUCAUUAACAUUUAUUGUGGUUGAUGAUUGCAGGUUAAUACAACAUAUAGUAAGAAUAACAACAUCUUCCAGUAUGCUGACCAAUGAAACUAUAUAAGAUUUAUUUGCAAGCAAAUGACAACAAUAAGAAAACAAGCUUUUUAGGGAGGAAGAAAUAAUGGAUAGAUAUGUAUUUUUUAUUAUACAUAUAUCCCUCGUUUCUUAAUUCCUAGAGCUGAAAUCCAUCCAAUCAACAGAUCUGAUACAAGACAAGAAAGAAGCAAGAAGUUCUGAAAAUGGAAACCAAAAGUGAUUCUUUUGGCACUUUUCCACAUCUUAUGCAAAUAUGUGAAUAUUUAAGACAAGCUAUUGCCUGCGACUCCUUCCAUGUUGUAUUUAAAAAAAACAUAAUUAUUAGCCUUUGUAUUCUUCCAGACCAUGUUCUAUAUGUAUGCCAAAUUUAAUC
Long non-coding RNA from Papilio xuthus (Asian swallowtail), 1419 nucleotides. RefSeq lists it as uncharacterized. NCBI's taxonomy places the organism in Eukaryota, Metazoa, Arthropoda, Insecta, Lepidoptera, Papilionidae. The transcript has 3 exons. The record is from RefSeq and is a predicted model, not a curated record.